Molecule: ribosomal RNA, 1392 nt
Filed under: uncultured bacterium
Lineage: Bacteria
Description: bacterial SSU rRNA
Rfam family: Bacterial small subunit ribosomal RNA
Source: RNAcentral
AGAGUUUGAUCCUGGCUCAGGAUGAACGCUGGCGGCGUGCCUAACACAUGCAAGUCGAGCGGGAAUCGAAUGAAUGAAACUUCGGUCGAAUGAUUUCGAGGAGAGUGGCGGACGGGUGAGUAACGCGUAGGCAACCUGCCCCAUUCACAGGGAUAGCCACUGGAAACGGUGAUUAAAACCUGAUGACACCGAGGAUUCACAUGUAACUUCGGUCAAAGAUUUAUCGGAAUGGGAUGGGCCUGCGUCUGAUUAGAUAGUUGGUGAGGUAACGGCCCACCAAGUCAACGAUCAGUAGCCGACCUGAGAGGGUGAUCGGCCACAUUGGAACUGAGACACGGUCCAAACUCCUACGGGAGGCAGCAGUGGGGAAUAUUGCACAAUGGGGGAAACCCUGAUGCAGCAACGCCGCGUGAAGGAUGAAGGUCUUCGGAUUGUAAACUUCUGUCCUAGGGGAAGAUAAUGACGGUACCCUUGGAGGAAGCCCCGGCUAACUACGUGCCAGCAGCCGCGGUAAUACGUAUGGUGCAAGCGUUAUUCGGAUUUACUGGGUGUAAAGGGAGCGUAGACGGCAUGGCAAGUCUGAAGUGAAAUGCGGGGGCUCAACCCCUGAACUGCUUUGGAAACUGUCAAGCUAGAGUGUCGGAGAGGUAAGUGGAAUUCCUAGUGUAGCGGUGAAAUGCGUAGAUAUUAGGAGGAACACCAGUGGCGAAGGCGGCUUACUGGACGAUAACUGACGUUGAGGCUCGAAAGCGUGGGGAGCAAACAGGAUUAGAUACCCUGGUAGUCCACGCUGUAAACGAUGAUUACUAGGUGUUGGGGGACUAAUAAGUCUUCGGUGCCGCCGCUAACGCAAUAAGUAAUCCACCUGGGGAGUACGUUCGCAAGAAUGAAACUCAAAGGAAUUGACGGGGACCCGCACAAGCGGUGGAGCAUGUGGUUUAAUUCGAAGCAACGCGAAAAACCUUACCAAAUCUUGACAUCCCGAUGAUCGUCUAUGUAAAGUAGAUUCUCUUCGGAGCAUUGGAGACAGGUGGUGCAUGGUUGUCGUCAGCUCGUGUCGUGAGAUGUUGGGUUAAGUCCCGCAACGAGCGCAACCCUUGCCUUUAGUAGCUAGCAGUUCGGCUGAGCACUCUAGAGGGACUGCCAGGGAUAACCUGGAGGAAGGUGGGGAUGACGUCAAAUCAUCAUGCCCCUUAUGAUUUGGGCUACACACGUGCUACAAUGGCGUAAACAAAGAGAAGCGAGCUCGCGAGGGUAAGCAAAUCUCAAAAAUAACGUCUCAGUUCGGAUUGUAGUCUGCAACUCGACUACAUGAAGCUGGAAUCGCUAGUAAUCGCGAAUCAGCAUGUCGCGGUGAAUACGUUACCCGGGUCUUGCACUCACCGCCCGUCA